Non-coding RNA from Zootermopsis nevadensis, 2900 nucleotides. The record is from RefSeq and is a predicted model, not a curated record. Lineage: Eukaryota; Metazoa; Arthropoda; Insecta; Blattodea; Termopsidae.
AUAAACGCGGUCCUGCGCAGUACUACUGAAACCGGGGAAAGACCUCACGCUACCUUCUUCCUACAGACCCAUCAGUCUUCCUGACACGGAAGGCAAGCUCUGUGAUAGGAUCCUAUUAACAAGGGUCCUACACGAGGUGAACGAACGCUGGCUGCUGUGCGACGAGCAGUUUGGUUUUCGACCCGGACACAGCACGACGAUGCAGCUGGCUCGCCUCGUUGAAAGGGUCGACAGGAACUUCGACGAGAGGCGGCUAACCGGCGCGGUUUUCCUGGACGAGGCCAAAGCCUUUGACACAGUGUGGAUCGAAGGCCUCCUCUACAAGCUGACCGUCCUCAACUUCCCGUCAUACCUGGUGAAAACCAUCUCAUCCUACCCUGCUUGCCGGACAUUCCACACGUCCUUCCAGUUGGCCACGUCCGCACUUCGUGCCAUGCGGGCCAGAGUCGUGCAGGGUGGACUCGUCUCCCCUGUGAUCUUCAGUCUGUAUGUCAACGACAAACCCACGUCGAGUUAGCGCAGUACGCGGAUGACACGGCUGUCGUGACCACAUCCCUUAGUCCAAAGCAUCUAGUCGGUUAUCUGGAGGCCUACCUCGGUAGACUUGAGCUCUGGCUCAGGGCCUGGAGGAUUGCUAUCAGCGUCUCGAAGAGCACCGCAGUUCUCUUCGUUAAGACCGGGAGACGCAUCCAUCAGCCCAGAGCGGUGCAGUUUCUCGGACAACUGAUACAAUGGGUCAAAAGAACGCAGUAUCUGGGGGUCACACUUGAUACUGGUCUUACCUGGUCGGCGCACGUCAACCAGGCGGGAAAGAGGGCGUGCUAGGCCCGCUCCUUAAUAGGAGAAGUGGCCUGUCCAUCGAGAACGGUGUGCUGCUCUACAAGCAGCUCAUCCAUCCCAAGAUGGAAUACCCAUGCCCGAUCUGGAGGUCGGCUGCCAGCAGCCAAGUCAGGAAGGUGCAAGUGUUAGAAUCCAAGUAAAAGGUUUUUUGGAGAUUGCAUUGAAGAAUAUUUGGUUCGAUAUGGGAGUAUUUUCACAUCCUUGCUGGAGUGAGACAUUAUUGGGUAGUUUGAGCACCUGGUCAGCUGGCACCACGCAGAACUCUGCCCAGUCCCCAUGCUCUUUUCAAUCCCAACACCACUGCAGUGGUUGUAAUUACCAUGUGACAUGCACCCACUGUAGUGUCCUUUCUGUCCUUACAUCACUUCAUUCUGUUUCAGUAUCUUAAUACCAUGUUCUAGAACUUGUUCAAGAAAGUUUCAUAGUUCCAGACAUGUGUCAAUACUUGAACCAAAGACAGGUAAUGAAACAUAUGGUAAAAAAGGUUGUAUAAUGAGUUCUGUUGUACGAGGAGGAAUUUAAAUGCACAAAAUUUUGCCAGGGUAACAUAAAAAAAACAGAACUGGGGCAAACUUCUACCAAGCAUAUUUCCUAUGUUUGUUAUUGGUGUACUAACACCACCAGGUCUUUUUUAUACCUGUUUGGAUCCGCAGCAACAUUGUAACCUUGUUCUCGAGUGAAAGACAUCAUGCCCCGCAGAUGUCAUCACUGCACUGAACUCUUGUCUGAAAAUGACUGGCAUUUCAUGUCAACUAAAUGUUCCCUGGAAUGUGGAGAGACGUAGUUGGCAUCUUCCGAGAGAGUGGCACAGCUAAGCAUCCGAAUCUGAAGAACAACUUUGAUUUCUACUUUGUCUGUAAUGAGGAUUCUUUACACAAGAAUACCUCAUAAUAAGCAUUCAAGAUGGAUGGAAUGCAUACAAAUGGUAAAUGUUAGCAUGUGUCACAAGUGAGACCUGCAGUUUAAAUUAAGAAUUAAAUAAAUUACCUCUUGUGGUAAGUGGUCUUUUCAAAUUUUGUACAUGAAUUCAGAUGUUUCAUAUGUGCAGAUUGUAGAAAGUGAUCAAAGAGUCGUGUGACCAUAUUAAAAUAUUUAUUGAUGAUUGCAAUUCAGUACAAAAUGAGUGAAGUAAUUAACAUGUAUUAUGACUCUGACUAUACAAGAGCCCUCGCAGGUCGUAUGUUGUAAUAUGCUGGCACCAGUCCAUCCAUCCUUUUUCAGCAGUUGAUGUCUUUUUCACAGCAUAAUGUUUAUUCAUUGUGAAGCAGUACCUAGCAUCUUGUUUUUACUUAACUUAGUGUUUAGGGAUACAUAUUCUGAGUCUCCUGUGCCAAAAACAAUUGACAAUAUCACAUUUGGUGAACUGUUUCCAUGGCACAGGUAGUUUGCAGAACAGAAAGCAGUCUGCUGACCAUCUGACACGGCUGGUAGGCCAGGAAAAAUUCAUUAAGCUUCAUCUACUUCAUUCUGCGAGAUUUUGUUUAUGGGAAAUAAAUGGUGAAAGCAUAGUCAUUACUGGAGGGGGUUGGAGGUAAAGCUCCAUGCAUUCUUAACCUUGGCAGUAGAAGGGGGCAAGGGGUCAACUUCAUGCCACAGCUGCCUUAAGCCUGAGAAAAGAACCCUGGUAUUCAAUGGAUUGGAUGGGAGGUAGGGUGGGCCCCACAUCCAGACUGGACAUUGUGACAAAGAGAAAAAUUCCUUCCUAGCCCAGUCAUCAGCCUGCAUCUCAGUCACUAUACUGACUCAUGAAACGGUACCAUUUUUCAUAUAUUAUUUUGAUCACUUCUGCAGAACCAUCACAGCCAUCAUACAAGUGUGCUUAACCAUUGAUGUAGGUAAUAUUACCAAACAUGUAGUAUUCUGUGUGAUGUAGAAAUAUGCUUUCUGUGGUAAAUUGUCUUCCUGAUAUGGUUAUUAGGUGGUCAAGAAGUCUCUUUGCUUUCUAUUCUGACAAAAAUUCUCUAUGCACUUCUAAUAUUUAGCCACAAUAUUUCCUCAUCUAUCUUAAUUUAAUUAUGGUUACAUUAUUAAGUGAAGAAUAUAAAUUAUGAAACUCCUUG